Molecule: ribosomal RNA, 478 nt
Filed under: uncultured bacterium
Lineage: Bacteria
Description: bacterial SSU rRNA
Rfam family: Bacterial small subunit ribosomal RNA
Source: RNAcentral
GACGAACGCUGGCGGCGUGCCUAACACAUGCAAGUCAACUUGACUGAAGGAGCAAUCUGACAGUAGAGUGGCGCAAGGGUGCGUAACGCGUAAGUAACUUGCCCAAGGUAAGGAAUAACGUCGAGAAAUCGGCGCUAAUACCUCAUAAUGCAGCGGAUCCGCAUGGAUAUGUUGUUAAAGGUUUACCGCCUUGGGAUAGGCUUGCGUCUGAUUAGCUAGUUGGUGUGGUAACGGCACACCAAGGCUACGAUCAGUAACUGGUCUGAGAGGAUGAUCAGUCACACUGGAACUGAGACACGGUCCAGACUCCUACGGGAGGCAGCAGUGAGGAAUAUUGGGCAAUGCUCGAAAGAGUGACCCAGCAACGCCGCGUGGAGGAUGAAGGUAUUCUAUAUCGUAAACUCCUGUGAGAGCAGACGAAGGACAGAUUAUUAAUCUGGAUGACUGUAUGCUCAGAGGAAGCCCCGGCUAACUACGU